UUAAGCGACUAAGCGUACACGGUGGAUGCCCUGGCAGUCAGAGGCGAUGAAGGACGUGCUAAUCUGCGAUAAGCGUCGGUAAGGUGAUAUGAACCGUUAUAACCGGCGAUUUCCGAAUGGGGAAACCCAGUGUGAUUCGUCACACUAUCAUUAACUGAAUCCAUAGGUUAAUGAGGCGAACCGGGGGAACUGAAACAUCUAAGUACCCCGAGGAAAAGAAAUCAACCGAGAUUCCCCCAGUAGCGGCGAGCGAACGGGGAGGAGCCCAGAGCCUGAAUCAGUGUGUGUGUUAGUGGAAGCGUCUGGAAAGGCGCGCGAUACAGGGUGACAGCCCCGUACACAAAAAUGCACAUGCUGUGAGCUCGAUGAGUAGGGCGGGACACGUGGUAUCCUGUCUGAAUAUGGGGGGACCAUCCUCCAAGGCUAAAUACUCCUGACUGACCGAUAGUGAACCAGUACCGUGAGGGAAAGGCGAAAAGAACCCCGGCGAGGGGAGUGAAAAAGAACCUGAAACCGUGUACGUACAAGCAGUGGGAGCACGCUUAGGCGUGUGACUGCGUACCUUUUGUAUAAUGGGUCAGCGACUUAUAUUCUGUAGCAAGGUUAACCGAAUAGGGGAGCCGAAGGGAAACCGAGUCUUAACUGGGCGUUAAGUUGCAGGGUAUAGACCCGAAACCCGGUGAUCUAGCCAUGGGCAGGUUGAAGGUUGGGUAACACUAACUGGAGGACCGAACCGACUAAUGUUGAAAAAUUAGCGGAUGACUUGUGGCUGGGGGUGAAAGGCCAAUCAAACCGGGAGAUAGCUGGUUCUCCCCGAAAGCUAUUUAGGUAGCGCCUCGUGAAUUCAUCUCCGGGGGUAGAGCACUGUUUCGGCAAGGGGGUCAUCCCGACUUACCAACCCGAUGCAAACUGCGAAUACCGGAGAAUGUUAUCACGGGAGACACACGGCGGGUGCUAACGUCCGUCGUGAAGAGGGAAACAACCCAGACCGCCAGCUAAGGUCCCAAAGUCAUGGUUAAGUGGGAAACGAUGUGGGAAGGCCCAGACAGCCAGGAUGUUGGCUUAGAAGCAGCCAUCAUUUAAAGAAAGCGUAAUAGCUCACUGGUCGAGUCGGCCUGCGCGGAAGAUGUAACGGGGCUAAACCAUGCACCGAAGCUGCGGCAGCGACGCUUAUGCGUUGUUGGGUAGGGGAGCGUUCUGUAAGCCUGUGAAGGUGUACUGUGAGGUAUGCUGGAGGUAUCAGAAGUGCGAAUGCUGACAUAAGUAACGAUAAAGCGGGUGAAAAGCCCGCUCGCCGGAAGACCAAGGGUUCCUGUCCAACGUUAAUCGGGGCAGGGUGAGUCGACCCCUAAGGCGAGGCCGAAAGGCGUAGUCGAUGGGAAACAGGUUAAUAUUCCUGUACUUGGUGUUACUGCGAAGGGGGGACGGAGAAGGCUAUGUUGGCCGGGCGACGGUUGUCCCGGUUUAAGCGUGUAGGCUGGUUUUCCAGGCAAAUCCGGAAAAUCAAGGCUGAGGCGUGAUGACGAGGCACUACGGUGCUGAAGCAACAAAUGCCCUGCUUCCAGGAAAAGCCUCUAAGCAUCAGGUAACAUCAAAUCGUACCCCAAACCGACACAGGUGGUCAGGUAGAGAAUACCAAGGCGCUUGAGAGAACUCGGGUGAAGGAACUAGGCAAAAUGGUGCCGUAACUUCGGGAGAAGGCACGCUGAUAUGUAGGUGAGGUCCCUCGCGGAUGGAGCUGAAAUCAGUCGAAGAUACCAGCUGGCUGCAACUGUUUAUUAAAAACACAGCACUGUGCAAACACGAAAGUGGACGUAUACGGUGUGACGCCUGCCCGGUGCCGGAAGGUUAAUUGAUGGGGUUAGCCGCAAGGCGAAGCUCUUGAUCGAAGCCCCGGUAAACGGCGGCCGUAACUAUAACGGUCCUAAGGUAGCGAAAUUCCUUGUCGGGUAAGUUCCGACCUGCACGAAUGGCGUAAUGAUGGCCAGGCUGUCUCCACCCGAGACUCAGUGAAAUUGAACUCGCUGUGAAGAUGCAGUGUACCCGCGGCAAGACGGAAAGACCCCGUGAACCUUUACUAUAGCUUGACACUGAACAUUGAGCCUUGAUGUGUAGGAUAGGUGGGAGGCUUAGAAGUGUGGACGCCAGUCUGCAUGGAGCCGACCUUGAAAUACCACCCUUUAAUGUUUGAUGUUCUAACGUUGACCCGUAAUCCGGGUUGCGGACAGUGUCUGGUGGGUAGUUUGACUGGGGCGGUCUCCUCCUAAAGAGUAACGGAGGAGCACGAAGGUUGGCUAAUCCUGGUCGGACAUCAGGAGGUUAGUGCAAUGGCAUAAGCCAGCUUGACUGCGAGCGUGACGGCGCGAGCAGGUGCGAAAGCAGGUCAUAGUGAUCCGGUGGUUCUGAAUGGAAGGGCCAUCGCUCAACGGAUAAAAGGUACUCCGGGGAUAACAGGCUGAUACCGCCCAAGAGUUCAUAUCGACGGCGGUGUUUGGCACCUCGAUGUCGGCUCAUCACAUCCUGGGGCUGAAGUAGGUCCCAAGGGUAUGGCUGUUCGCCAUUUAAAGUGGUACGCGAGCUGGGUUUAGAACGUCGUGAGACAGUUCGGUCCCUAUCUGCCGUGGGCGCUGGAGAACUGAGGGGGGCUGCUCCUAGUACGAGAGGACCGGAGUGGACGCAUCACUGGUGUUCGGGUUGUCAUGCCAAUGGCACUGCCCGGUAGCUAAAUGCGGAAGAGAUAAGUGCUGAAAGCAUCUAAGCACGAAACUUGCCCCGAGAUGAGUUCUCCCUGACUCUUUAAGGGUCCUGAAGGAACGUUGAAGACGACGACGUUGAUAGGCCGGGUGUGUAAGCGCAGCGAUGCGUUGAGCUAACCGGUACUAAUGAACCGUGAGGCUUAACCUU
This 2904-nucleotide ribosomal RNA is filed under the name Escherichia coli UMEA 3212-1. RNAcentral's name for it is "bacterial LSU rRNA". It matches the Rfam family "Bacterial large subunit ribosomal RNA". The record is from RNAcentral. Lineage: Bacteria; Pseudomonadati; Pseudomonadota; Gammaproteobacteria; Enterobacterales; Enterobacteriaceae.